AGAGAGAUCAUUGACAUUGAGGUACAGAUCUGAGAGGUUGGUCAAAUUAGCAAGUUCAGUAGGUACAACCCCAUGAAGCUUGUUGAAGUGCAGGCAACCCCUUCAAAAGAGGCAUUGCUGCAUGGGUCAGUAGCAUUGGGUGACCAUGAUGACAGAAUGAGGCCUUGAGGGUCUAGUGCAGAUUUGAUGGUCAUGAGGAGAGAGAGAGGGGUGGUUGUUGUUGUUGUUGAGGGUUGAGAGAGAGAGUGGAAUGGUAGGAGCAGUGUGAGGAAGAGUGUGAAAAGGGGGAGGAAAGCCAUUUUUGGGCUUCCAAGCAAAAUGUGUAGUGGGAAAGUUAGUUUGGAAGAAAGCUAAGCUCUGUGACCUGUGUUGUUUGCUAAACCAAAGUAGUGAGCAAUGCUAAACCAAAGUAGUGAGCAAAGUUCGCUUUUUUAUGAAUUGGGGAUUUUGCUAAAGUUUGCUUCUUUUUGGUGGAAACAAAUGGAGUUGCAGAGGUCUCGCCCUCCCUCUCCUCUCCUCUCCUCUCGCCUUGGGGUUGAAGAAGUGGAGUGGGCAGAGAUACUUGUCGGUGUUUACUGUUGGGACAAAUUUGAAUUUGCGGUGACCGGGAAGACCGGUAGCACUCACACUUGACUUGUAUUUUUACUGUGAUCUACUCCUACUUGUACUACAGUACUUACAUGUUUAUUUUUUCGUUGAA
Salvia hispanica is the source of this 700-nucleotide non-coding RNA. NCBI's taxonomy places the organism in Eukaryota, Viridiplantae, Streptophyta, Magnoliopsida, Lamiales, Lamiaceae. The record is from RefSeq and is a predicted model, not a curated record.